RNAcentral lists this unclassified non-coding RNA (371 nucleotides) under soil metagenome. RNAcentral's name for it is "partial contains 5.8S ribosomal RNA, internal transcribed spacer 2, and large subunit ribosomal RNA". The stretch from base 1 to 120 matches the Rfam family "5.8S ribosomal RNA", at positions 35 to 154 of the family's 154-position model. The record is from RNAcentral.
GAUGGAGAACGUAGCGAAAUGCGAUAAGUAAUGUGAAUUGCAGAAUUCAGUGAAUCAUCGAAUCUUUGAACGCACAUUGCGCCCCCUGGAAUUCCGGGGGGCAUGCCUGUUCGAGCGUCUCAGGGACGAACCCUCGCGCGGGUGUACGCGCGGUCGUGGCUGCGGUGGCGUGCCCGAGGCGGCGGCCACCGCGCUGGAAUCCAUGGGCGGACGCCUGCCGCGUGGCCGAGCGUGAUAUGACGCAUUGGCGCUCGCGCGCGGCGAGGCUGCCAGCCCUGGCCCGUCUGUCGGGCGGGGGAGAGCAAGACACGUGAACUCCUCGAAUCAGGUAGGGAUACCCGCUGAACUUAAGCAUAUCAAUAAGCGGAGGA